RNAcentral lists this ribosomal RNA (253 nucleotides) under uncultured bacterium. Its description in RNAcentral is "partial 16S ribosomal RNA". It matches the Rfam family "Bacterial small subunit ribosomal RNA", at positions 524 to 776 of the family's 1533-position model. The record is from RNAcentral.
UACGUAGGCAGCGAGCGUUGUUCGGAAUUACUGGGCGUAAAGGGUGUGUAGGCGGUGUUCCCAGUCUGUUGUGAAAUCUCCCGGCUUAACUGGGAGGGUGCAGCGGAAACUAGAAUGCUAGAGGGUGGGAGAGGUAAGCGGAAUUCCUGGUGUAGCGGUGAAAUGCGUAGAUAUCAGGAGGAACACCUGUGGUGUAGACAGCUUACUGGACCACUUCUGACGCUGAGACACGAAAGCGUGGGUAGCAAACAGG